Molecule: long non-coding RNA, 428 nt
Filed under: Phoenix dactylifera (date palm)
Lineage: Eukaryota; Viridiplantae; Streptophyta; Magnoliopsida; Arecales; Arecaceae
Description: long non-coding RNA (PDAC_LNC020679)
Source: RNAcentral
CAGAACGGGCAGAAAAAGGUGUCUAACGGCUAGUUUCCGUGGGGGAUGGGUUAAAUAGCCACAGAGGACUGUAGCAAGGCAGAGAACGUACCAUUCCAUUCAAAAAGAUCAAGCAUUCAUUCUCUGCAAGUGGUUUUUCAACGAAAAGAGGGAAGAGCGCCAUUAACUCCUUCCAACCACAUCUUCCCAACAUUGAAAGAGAUCUCCUCCUGCCUUCAAGUCGUCCAGAAUUUCAAGAGGAGACCCGAAGUUCAAGAAGCCCUUUCUCUUCUCCAACUUAAACGCGUUUGAGGGCUCUUAACUUUGCUUUUAUUAAUAUUGCUGUAUAUUUGCUUUUGAGAAGCUCUGUUUUUCUGUUUGUCCUCAUUAUUAGCAUAUUGUCUUAGCUUGGUUCAAUCGGAGGAUUGAAUCAAGGGUGUAGAGGUUGG